RNAcentral lists this unclassified non-coding RNA (299 nucleotides) under Hevea brasiliensis (rubber tree). The record is from RNAcentral. Lineage: Eukaryota; Viridiplantae; Streptophyta; Magnoliopsida; Malpighiales; Euphorbiaceae.
GGGCAGCGGCGGCGGCAGGAGCGACCUUCAGCAUAGCUGCCAUCAGCUGCGACGGGUCCUCGGCAUCAUCGUCACCCAACAAAUCGAAAGGGUUCAUGGUCGCCAUUUCCGAUAAAAUCAGCAGUGAACAGCAAAAUCCCCCACCCACUCAAGGAUUCUACUUCGAAAGGCGACCAGGAAACCCUAAGUUAACAAGUCCUCCAUGGUAAAACUAUACAGAUCUGUCAACAAGAGGGAAUAGGAUUAAGGUUUGAGAGAGAAAAGAGAAGAAGAGAGAGAGAGAUAAAAACCCUAGCCGC